AGCGCAGGUGGUUUCUUAAGUCUGAUGUAAAAAGGCAGUGGCUCAACCAUUGUGUGCAUUGGAAACUGGGAGACUUGAGUGCAGGAGAGGAGAGUGGAAUUCCAUGUGUAGCGGUGAAAUGCGUAGAUAUAUGGAGGAACACCGGAGGCGAAAGCGGCUCUCUGGCCUGUAACUGACACUGAGGCUCGAAAGCGUGGGAGCAAACA
This 206-nucleotide ribosomal RNA is filed under the name uncultured bacterium. Its description in RNAcentral is "partial 16S ribosomal RNA". It matches the Rfam family "Bacterial small subunit ribosomal RNA", at positions 568 to 774 of the family's 1533-position model. The record is from RNAcentral.